RNAcentral lists this ribosomal RNA (246 nucleotides) under uncultured bacterium. RNAcentral's name for it is "partial small subunit ribosomal RNA". It matches the Rfam family "Bacterial small subunit ribosomal RNA", at positions 26 to 278 of the family's 1533-position model. The record is from RNAcentral.
AGGACGAACGCUGGCGGCGUGCUUAACACAUGCAAGUCGAGCGGAAAGGCCCUUCGGGGUACUCGAGCGGCGAACGGGUGAGUAACACGUGAGCAAUCUGCCCUUAGCUUCGGGAUAGCUCCGGGAAACCGGAAUUAAUACCGGAUAUGACUAUGGCUGACAUCAGCCACGGUGGAAAGUUUUUCGGCUAGGGAUGAGCUCGCGGCCUAUCAGCUAGUUGGUGGGGUAACGCCUACCAAGGCGACG